Long non-coding RNA from Lolium perenne, 4170 nucleotides. RefSeq lists it as uncharacterized. The record is from RefSeq and is a predicted model, not a curated record. NCBI's taxonomy places the organism in Eukaryota, Viridiplantae, Streptophyta, Magnoliopsida, Poales, Poaceae.
CUCACUAACACUACUUGAUCUUAUCCGAGCGAGCUGCCCGGGGGGCGGCCGGAAUCGCCUCUCCCCAGCCGCGCCGCCACCGCCGCCCUCCAAGGAGGGUUCGCGGGAAGGUGGCGCGGUUUUGGGGAAUGAAGAGGCGGCUCUGUCGUCCGCGACCGCCACCGGCGGCAAGCGAUGACGACUGCCCUCGGUCGGAGCGCGCGCGAUGAUGGCCGCGCGGGUUCACCCGAACAAUUCCCAAAAUUUUCCAGUUUGCCUCUUCGUUUCCCAUCGCAAUUUGAUUUCCUUCUCUCUUUUUUUUACAUUGGAUAUCUGCUCGUCCGGUUUCUUCAGUUGAAUCUCUUCUGUUAUAAUUUGGUUUCGGGAUGAGUUUUGCUCUAGGUUUCUAGCUUCAGCUUGCCUGUUGCCCUGGUCGUGCUGAACCUUUACUCCGUUUGUGUCAAAUUAUUUCGCUUCAGUGCUCAUGGCUGUUCCUUUCAACCGACUACAUUAUUAUGAAUUCGAAUUGCUGUGAGUAUAUAUUAUUCUUAUGAUUUAUGAACCUGAUGCUGUUUACUACUGUGCAGUGUAAUCUUGACAAAAACGCACCUCGUUUGAACCAAGCCUAGCGCAUUCUGUGAUUGUCAAAUGAUAGGAAGUCCAUGUCAGUUAUGCAUGAACUGCUAGCUUGUGCUUUUCCACAAGUAGAUCGCAGAGAGGAGUGAAGAUGCAGGAAGAUCACUUCACCUGUUGUGGUAUAGGUUUGAUUCAGGAAGAUCAACAUGUAUGGAUCUGUUAUUGGUCUCAAUCUACAUGAUGCGUUAAUCAAGGAGAUGUGCUGAUUUUGUGAUGGGGGUUGAUAGUACAGUAUAUAUCUUUCGUUUUUCUAAUGGUUGUCUGUUGCCAACUGCAGCGUGCAUACUGUCUAUAGCAGGGGAUAUACUGAUUGUAAUGGAUUUGCAGAUCAUCUAGAUUUAAAAUGUUGUAUGCUUGUUAACUCUUGUGGUUAUUCGAUUAUAUUGAAUUAGUGAUAAUCUGAAACAUGUUACACAGUUUCUUGUUGAUAUCUUCUAUUUUGACCUUUCUGGAAAAGAAUGCAGUGGUGUUCGUAAUUUUCUUGACCUCACGGUAGUCAUUUCUUCUUCUCAGUACGGAUUGAAAUGAUAUCACGAACGUCGAAAGGACAAAAAUAAAUAAAGUAUAUAUAAGAAAUUAAACCUGCUAUUUGACCAAGAACAUCAUUUGUAACUUCAUUAGGUAUGUUUUUCUUAGUGUUUUGUUCCAAAUAGAAUAUAAUGUUCCUGUCUAUUGGCAUAAGAUUGUCCACAUUUAGUGUCGACGAGCACAUUCCGCACCUAUCAUAUUUUUCCAGGAUGCUCCCUUUUUAUGAACACAAGCUAAUAAUUUAUCACACAAAUAUUCCUUCUCUAUCAGCAAGCGGAUAAUUUAUCCAGUGAUAUGUAGCUCCUGUCCACUUAAGCUUGUCAUAUUUUUCCAGGAUCCUCCCUUUUUAUGAACACAAGCUAAUAAUUUAUCACACAAAUAUUCCUCUCUAUCAGCAAGCGGAGAAUUUAUCCAGUGAUAUGUAGCUCCUGUCCACUGAAGCUUGUUUGCUUAUAUAUAUAUUCUAUGGUGUUCGAAGGAUUAAUUUCAAGAAUUAAGAAGCUCCCCUUCUCUUUUUGUGCUACACAACAUUUUCUAACAGGCUGUUCAAAGCGAAAUGUUGCGCAGGGAAGUCCAUGAGAUGUGUAAGCUGUAAAGCUGUUUCCUGCCUCUCGCAUCAUAUCUUAUUACACUUUUCCUUCUUCAGUCUCUUAUAAUGAAGAAAGGGAUUCUAAUUGAUUUACAUACAUGUUUUGAAUAGUUUAUUUCCUACAUGUGGAGUAUAAAGGAAAUAUUCAUGCAUCAAUAUCUAACUUGUUCUUGCAAGGUACUCAAGUGCGCUUCUACAUUAAUGAUGAAAUUUGAUGUAUUCCUAUUGAUGACCAUCGGGAGCAAGAUGCUUUGGCUGGGCACUUCUCUACUCCAGGAUCAUCCUUGACUCCAAGGUCUCUCACUGUCUCUUUCAUUUGAGUAAAUGUUGUAAAGUUACAUUCAUAUGAAAUCUACAUGUUUAACAAUUAUAGAGAACCAUAGAUUAACCAAUUGUGUCACGGAACUGUAUGUUUUAAGACCAUGUUCAUAAAAUUGUAGAUUUAUGGACUGACUGAACUGUAUCACAAUCCACUAACCAACUCUUUGUGACACGCUGUCACAAAACCCAAGUUGGCAUACCGGCAAAAUCACUCAUGUGUACUGUUGUGGUAUACUGGCAAAGUAAUUGAAUUCUGAAUCAGUAGUUCUGUCAAAUUGGUUUAAAAUACUACAUAUUUUAGUGAUAGUUUGUGUGCUUGAUUUGUAGCUUAGUGAAAUCUGUACUCAUUCUACUCCCUCUUUUACUUGAUGAUUGUUUGGGGCCUACCAUGCGCACAUGUCAAGGAAAUACUAAAUCUGAGAAAUGUAAUGAGAACUGUUGAUGCUUACUCUAUUGGUUGCCAUAAUGCAACCAUUUAACCUCCUAAAAGAGUUGAGUAAUGAUAAUGUGAAACAGGUAAUGACUGCACUCUCGAUACUCUAGAUGAAUAGAUAUUUUGAAACAGAAGCUUCCAGUAUUACGAACUAAGAAUGGAAGUAGUGCUCACGUAGUCGCGUGACUACUGGCUCUUUUAUUGUUUGUUGACUGAGAAGAACUGCAAAUAGAUUGCUUCUUAUUUUUCUUUGUCUCUGCUAUUUCUAGUGCCUCUGUUGUUGCUGCUCUAGUGGCAAUGGUGACUGAUUUGAGACUGAGGGGUUAGGGUUUGGAGAUUCACCCUUGACUUUGUAAUGAACCAGCAAUGAGACGAACAAUACUCACAUUCUGGAUUAUCAUAUCCCUGAUGCACCGGAGGACUUUAUGAAGCACAUCGAGAAGACCACAAACAGCGUGGUGACCGAUGUACCAGACUUGGUAAAGCACAUGGAGAAGACCAUGAAUGCCAUGGUCAUUCAUGGUGAAAGGCUGCUGUGGGCAGGCCUACCACGCGGUCGCUGUCGAACUCGGCUUGUUCGCUCGCCAUAACCCUGGGAGUGGACACCCUCGAGGCUCCAGGCCUACAAAUGAUGUUGCUUGCCUAGGCUCAUCGGCAGGCACCACCUCCUCCAUGAGUCUGAACAGACUCUGGGUCUUGGGAUAUCCUACCACCCACUUGAGCAGUGGUGCAACAAUGGCAGUGCCAAGUAAGAGCUGCUGCGCAACAUGCUGUUAGACGGAUGCUUCGUCCUCCAUUGCCUGCUGAAGUAUGUGUGCAUCAACAGAACAGAAGCUGCUGGUUCUACCUCUAGCUAGCAGUGGUAAUUGCGGUAGGGAGGAGAAUGAUGACUAGACCCAGAUGUUCGGGAGGUGCUGGGUGUGGGGGUUUGUCACUUGCGACCUGCUGCUGCUCGAGAACAAAAUUCCUUUAUUCAUUCUUGGAGAAGCUGUUCGAGCAGCUCCAGAUGGAACCCAGCGGAUAGCAGCGGUGUCCGUGUGACUGGUGCUCUGUGCUUCUUCUGUUCCCUCGGUCCUCAGAGGCUGCACUCCUCCGUUGCCUGCCACAAUGUGCACCACCUCCUGCAGUAGAUACCAUGGGCCAGGGAUCUAGGGGAACCUGGCAUUGAGUUCCGGGCAAGGAAUGCUGCUGACACGAAGAGCUUUCUUGAUGUGAGGUUCCACGGGGCGUCCUGGAGGUCCCAACGCAGCUGUGUUACUGCAUAUGCUGUCUAAAUGGACUGCCUUGUUGCCUCGCCGGAGGACAUGAGACUGCUAGAACUUGGUGGCGUACUGGUGAACCAAAUGAGUGGCACCUCUGAGGCGGGCCUGGUGGGGUUCUCUGCCUGCCUCUGCGCGGAAGCUCACCUGGCGGCCAACAACUACUACUUCGCUGGUGUUAUUGGGAAGGUAAACAAGUACCGGCGGUCCAGGUGGCCCUGGUGGCGAGUGGUCCUUGUUCGUAACUACGGCAGCAACCCAUGGAUGGCCACGUCGCUCGCCGUCGUGGCAUUGCUGCUCGUGCUCACUGUGAUCCAGACCUUCUUUUUUGCAUCCUAUUCAUACUUCAAGGCACCCAAGCAAAACUGAUUAUUAUUGGAUCUAUGUGCAUGGAUUUGUCACCAUAAUCAAGUUCUUUUUGCCUA